RNAcentral lists this non-coding RNA (206 nucleotides) under Nicoletella semolina. RNAcentral describes it as "GcvB RNA". It matches the Rfam family "GcvB RNA". Rfam says of the family: The gcvB gene encodes a small untranslated RNA involved in expression of the dipeptide and oligopeptide transport systems in Escherichia coli. Included several unknown homologues in alignment (Bateman A pers obs). Lineage: Bacteria; Pseudomonadati; Pseudomonadota; Gammaproteobacteria; Pasteurellales; Pasteurellaceae. The record is from RNAcentral.
ACUGACCGUAGCUGAGAAAACGUAUCAAAUACUGUUUUGAGGGUUUUGCUCAAGUACAAUGUUGUGUUUGCAUAUAGUCUAAGAGUCUUAACUUUAUAAAUCUUAAUGUUGAGAGCCUAGACGUUGAGUGGUUAAGGCUACUCAUUCACUUCCUGUAUAUUUUUAACCGUUUUGGUUCUAUGCCACCCAUUUGGGUGGUUUUUUUA